Molecule: ribosomal RNA, 497 nt
Filed under: uncultured bacterium
Lineage: Bacteria
Description: partial 16S ribosomal RNA
Rfam family: Bacterial small subunit ribosomal RNA
Source: RNAcentral
GAUGAACGCUGGCGGCGUGCCUAAUACAUGCAAGUCGAGCGAACAGACGAGGAGCUUGCUCCUCUGACGUUAGCGGCGGACGGGUGAGUAACACGUGGAUAACCUACCUAUAAGACUGGGAUAACUUCGGGAAACCGGAGCUAAUACCGGAUAAUAUAUUGAACCGCAUGGUUCAAUAGUGAAAGACGGUUUUGCUGUCACUUAUAGAUGGAUCCGCGCCGCAUUAGCUAGUUGGUAAGGUAACGGCUUACCAAGGCAACGAUGCGUAGCCGACCUGAGAGGGUGAUCGGCCACACUGGAACUGAGACACGGUCCAGACUCCUACGGGAGGAAGCAGUAGGGAAUCUUCCGCAAUGGGCGAAAGCCUGACGGAGCAACGCCGCGUGAGUGAUGAAGGUCUUCGGAUCGUAAAACGCUGUUAUUAGGGAAGAACAAAUGUGUAAGUAACUAUGCACGUCUUGACGGUACCUAAUCAGAAAGCCACGGCUAACUACGUG